This 85-nucleotide non-coding RNA is filed under the name human gut metagenome. RNAcentral's name for it is "Glycine riboswitch". It matches the Rfam family "Glycine riboswitch aptamer", at positions 8 to 87 of the family's 94-position model. Rfam says of the family: This family represents the bacterial glycine riboswitch. Glycine riboswitches usually consist of two metabolite-binding aptamers domains with similar structures in tandem. The record is from RNAcentral.
AAUCUCUGGAGAAUCUCUUAAAUGAGUGCCGACGGUGCAAAGCUUAGUAAUAAGCUGAAUCUCUCAGGCAAAUGGACAGAGACGG